AGUUUAGGCUUAGUGUUAGGGUUAGAUUUAGAGUUAGAGUUAGAUCUAGGUUUAGGGCUACAGUGAAGUUUAGGGCUAGGGUUAGGUGUAGGGUUUGAGUUAUCAUAAGUGAUAGGGUUAGAAAUAGUGAUAGGGCUAGGGAGAGAGUUAGAGUUAGUCUUAGUGUUAGGGUUAGAUUUAGGGUUAGAAUUAGAGCUUAAUUAGGGCUAGGAUUAGACGUAGGGUUAGUAUUAAGGCUGAGCCUAGAUUUAUGGCUAGGUUGUGGUUAUGGUUAUGGUUAGAUAUGAUGUUAUAGCUAGCUUUAGAACUAGGGCGAGGAUUAAAAUUAGGGUUAGGUCUACGGUUAGGGUUAGGUUUAGAAUUAAGGCUAAGAUUACGUCUAGGAUUAGGGCUAGAGUUUUUUUUAGGGUUAGUGCUUCAUUAGGGCUAGGGCUAAUUUCAGGUCUAGGGUUAUGGUUAGAGAUAGUUUUAGGGUAAGAUUAUUAAGGUUAAGAUUAGGUUUAUGGAUAUGGUUAGGUUUAGGGUUCAGGUUAGGUUUAGGGUAAUGUAUAGGUGUAGGGUUAGGAAUAAGUUUAGGGUUAUCCUAGUGUUAGCAUUAGGGUUAGGAUGAGGAUUAGGGUAAUGGAUAGGGUUACAACUGGGGUUAGGGCUAGGUUUAUGGUUAGGAUUAAGGCUAGGGUUAGGUUUGGGGUUAUGGCAAGAGUUAGGGUUAGGAUUAGGUUUAGAGUAAGGGUUAGGGAUAGAAUUAGGGGUUUGAUUAGGGUUAAAAGGAGUGUUAGCACUUUGAUUAUG
This 792-nucleotide long non-coding RNA is filed under the name Marmota monax (woodchuck). The record is from RNAcentral. Lineage: Eukaryota; Metazoa; Chordata; Mammalia; Rodentia; Sciuridae.